Molecule: small nucleolar RNA, 97 nt
Filed under: Clavispora lusitaniae ATCC 42720
Lineage: Eukaryota; Fungi; Ascomycota; Pichiomycetes; Serinales; Metschnikowiaceae
Description: Small nucleolar RNA snR48
Rfam family: Small nucleolar RNA snR48
About the family: snR48 is a member of the C/D class of snoRNA which contain the C (UGAUGA) and D (CUGA) box motifs. Most of the members of the box C/D family function in directing site-specific 2'-O-methylation of substrate RNAs.
Source: Rfam by way of RNAcentral
UCAUCAGGAUGAAUUAUUUCUAUCAUAUGUUUUUUCUGGCAUCUCUAAUGUUAGAGCUUUUCCGCUCGAUGAAUACAACCUUGACAAUUAUCUGAUA